ACACAAGAGGACAACAGUUGGAAACGACUGCUAAUACUCUAUACUCCUGCUUAACACAAGUUGAGUAGGGAAAGUUUUUCGGUGUAGGAUGAGACUAUAUAGUAUCAGCUAGUUGGUAAGGUAAUGGCUUACCAAGGCUAUGACGCUUAACUGGUCUGAGAGGAUGAUCAGUCACACUGGAACUGAGACACGGUCCAGACUCCUACGGGAGGCAGCAGUAGGGAAUAUUGCGCAAUGGGGGAAACCCUGACGCAGCAACGCCGCGUGGAGGAUGACACUUUUCGGAGCGUAAACUCCUUUUCUUAGGGAAGAAUUCUGACGGUACCUAAGGAAUAAGCACCGGCUAACUCCGUGCCAGCAGCCGCGGUAAUACGGAGGGUGCAAGCGUUACUCGGAAUCACUGGGCGUAAAGGGCGCGUAGGCGGAUUAUCAAGUCUCUUGUGAAAUCUAAUGGCUUAACCAUUAAACUGCUUGGGAAACUGAUAGUCUGGAGUGAGGGAGAGGCAGAUGGAAUUGGUGGUGUAGGGGUAAAAUCCGUAGAUAUCACCAAGAAUACCCAUUGCGAAGGCGAUCUGCUGGAACUCAACUGACGCUAAGGCGCGAAAGCGUGGGGAGCAAACAGGAUUAGAUACCCUGGUAGUCCACGCCCUAAACGAUGUACACUAGUUGUUGGGGUGCUAGUCAUCUCAGUAAUGCAGCUAACGCAUUAAGUGUACCGCCUGGGGAGUACGGUCGCAAGAUUAAAACUCAAAGGAAUAGACGGGGACCCGCACAAGCGGUGGAGCAUGUGGUUUAAUUCGAAGAUACGCGAAGAACCUUACCUGGGCUUGAUAUCCUAAGAACCUUUUAGAGAUAAGAGGGUGCUAGCUUGCUAGAACUUAGAGACAGGUGCUGCACGGCUGUCGUCAGCUCGUGUCGUGAGAUGUUGGGUUAAGUCCCGCAACGAGCGCAACCCACGUAUUUAGUUGCUAACGGUUCGGCCGAGCACUCUAAAUAGACUGCCUUCGUAAGGAGGAGGAAGGUGUGGACGACGUCAAGUCAUCAUGGCCCUUAUGCCCAGGGCGACACACGUGCUACAAUGGCAUAUACAAUGAGACGCAAUACCGCGAGGUGGAGCAAAUCUAUAAAAUAUGUCCCAGUUCGGAUUGUUCUCUGCAACUCGAGAGCAUGAAGCCGGAAUCGCUAGUAAUCGUAGAUCAGCCAUGCUACGGUGAAUACGUUCCCGGGUCUUGUACUCACCGCCCGUCACACCAUGGGAGUUGAUUUCACUCGAAGCCGGAAUACUAAACUAGUUACCGUCCACAGUGGAAUCAGCGACUGGGGUGAAGUCGUAACAAGGUAACCGUAGGAGAACCUGCGGUUGGAUCACCUCCUUUCUA
This 1379-nucleotide ribosomal RNA is filed under the name Campylobacter coli. RNAcentral's name for it is "bacterial SSU rRNA". It matches the Rfam family "Bacterial small subunit ribosomal RNA". Lineage: Bacteria; Pseudomonadati; Campylobacterota; Epsilonproteobacteria; Campylobacterales; Campylobacteraceae. The record is from RNAcentral.